AUACGGAGGGUGCAAGCGUUAAUCGGAAUUACUGGGCGUAAAGCGCGCGUAGGCGGUUUGAUAAGUCGGAUGUGAAAUCCCCGGGCUCAACCUGGGAAUUGCAUUCGAUACUGUCAGGCUAGAGUGUGGUAGAGGGAAGUGGAAUUUCCGGUGUAGCGGUGAAAUGCGUAGAUAUCGGAAGGAACACCAGUGCCGAAGGCGGCUUCCUGGACCAACACUGACGCUGAGGUGCGAAAGCGUGGGGAGCAAACAGGAUUAGAAACCCUAGUAGUCC
RNAcentral lists this ribosomal RNA (274 nucleotides) under uncultured bacterium. RNAcentral describes it as "partial 16S ribosomal RNA". It matches the Rfam family "Bacterial small subunit ribosomal RNA", at positions 523 to 796 of the family's 1533-position model. The record is from RNAcentral.